AUUGAACGCUGGCGGAAUGCUUUACACAUGCAAGUCGAACGGCAGCACGGGGCAACCUGGUGGCGAGUGGCGAACGGGUGAGUAAUAUAUCGGAACGUGCCCAAUCGUGGGGGAUAACGUAGCGAAAGUUACGCUAAUACCGCAUAUUCUGUGAGCAGGAAAGCAGGGGACCGCAAGGCCUUGCGCUCUUUGAGCGGCCGAUGUCAGAUUAGCUAGUUGGUGAGGUAACGGCUUACCAAGGCGACGAUCUGUAGCGGGUCUGAGAGGAUGAUCCGCCACACUGGAACUGAGACACGGUCCAGACUCCUACGGGAGGCAGCAGUGGGGAAUUUUGGACAAUGGGCGCAAGCCUGAUCCAGCCAUGCCGCGUGAGUGAAGAAGGCC
Molecule: ribosomal RNA, 384 nt
Filed under: uncultured bacterium
Lineage: Bacteria
Description: bacterial SSU rRNA
Rfam family: Bacterial small subunit ribosomal RNA
Source: RNAcentral